GGACGAACGCUGGCGGCGUGCUUAACCCAUGCAAGUCGAACGGAAAGGCCCUGCUUGCAGGGUACUCGAGUGGCGAACGGGUGAGUAACACGUGGGUGAUCUGCCCUGCACUUCGGGAUAAGCCUGGGAAACUGGGUCUAAUACCGGAUAGGAGCCAUUUUUAGUGUGAUGGUUGGAAAGUUUUUUCGGUGUAGGAUGAGCUCGCGGCCUAUCAGCUUGUUGGUGGGGUAAUGGCCUACCAAGGCGGCGACGGGUAGCCGGCCUGAGAGGGUGGACGGCCACAUUGGGACUGAGAUACGGCCCAGACUCCUACGGGAGGCAUCAGUGGGGAAUAUUGCACAAUGGGCGCAAGCCUGAUGCAGCGACGCCGCGUGGGGGAUGACGGCCUUCGGGUUGUAAACUCCUUUCGCUAGGGACGAAGCUUUUUGUGACGGUACCUAGAUAAGAAGCACCGGCUAACUACGUG
RNAcentral lists this ribosomal RNA (466 nucleotides) under uncultured bacterium. RNAcentral's name for it is "partial 16S ribosomal RNA". It matches the Rfam family "Bacterial small subunit ribosomal RNA", at positions 27 to 507 of the family's 1533-position model. The record is from RNAcentral.